RNAcentral lists this ribosomal RNA (941 nucleotides) under uncultured delta proteobacterium. RNAcentral's name for it is "bacterial SSU rRNA". It matches the Rfam family "Bacterial small subunit ribosomal RNA", at positions 8 to 924 of the family's 1533-position model. The record is from RNAcentral. Lineage: Bacteria; Deltaproteobacteria.
AGAGUUUGAUCCUGGCUCAGAACGAACGCUGGCGGCGUGCUUAACACAUGCAAGUCGAACGCGAACGAGUUCUUCGGAACUUUAGUAGAGUGGCGCACGGGUGAGUAACGCGUAAGUAAUCUACCCUCGCAUUUGGGAUAACCCACCGAAAGGUGUGCUAAUACCGGAUACGUCUAUUUUAAUAUCUUUUUUAUAGAGAAAGGUGGCCUCUGAUUCAAGCUACUGUGCGGGGAGGAGCUUGCGUACCAUUAGCUAGUUGGUAGGGUAAUGGCCUACCAAGGCAACGAUGGUUAGCGGGUCUGAGAGGAUGAUCCGCCACACUGGAACUGAAACACGGACCAGACUCCUACGGGAGGCAGCAGUGAGGAAUAUUGCGCAAUGGGGGCAACCCUGACCCAGCGACGCCGCGUGGAUGAUGAAGGCCUUCGGGUUGUAAAAUCCUGUCAGAUGGGAAGAAGUGUAAUAUGGUUAAUAUCUGUAUUAUUUGACGGUACCAUCAAAGGAAGCACCGGCUAACUCCGUGCCAGCAGCCGCGGUAAUACGGAGGGUGCAAGCGUUGUUCGGAAUUACUGGGCGUAAAGCGCGCGUAGGCGGUUGUAUAAGUCAGAUGUGAGAGUCCAUGGCUCAACCAUGGAAGUGCAUUUGAAACUGUAUAACUUGAGUACUGGAGGGGGUGGUGGAAUUCCCGGUGUAGAGGUGAAAUUCGUAGAUAUCGGGAGGAAUACCGGUGGCGAAGGCGACCACCUGGCCAGAUACUGACGCUGAGGUGCGAAAGCGUGGGGAGCAAACAGGAUUAGAUACCCUGGUAGUCCACGCCGUAAACGAUGUGAACUAGGUGUUGGGAUGGUUAAUCGUCUCAUUGCCGGAGCUAACGCAUUAAGUUCACCGCCUGGGGAGUACGGUCGCAAGAUUAAAACUCAAAGGAAUUGACGGGGGCCCGC